UAAGGAGCACCUUCACCCGAAAGGGUGCAAGGAGCCCGCGCCAUCCGAAUGUGGUGGCGGGGUGCUCAGAUGGCGGAGACACUGGUUAGUCAGAUGCCGGCAACGUCUCGGAUGUCUAGUACACGCCCUUCGGGUGCAGGAACGGCGGAAGUGAUGCGGCUGGGGUUUGGCGUAAAGCACCCUGUUGGGUCCUGAAAGAACAACCGGUGGUUGUUUCUUUCGGAGCCUUGCAGGAGCGUGAGCUCCGCGGGCAGCAUGGCCUGGCCUCGCAUACGCCGGCGGAUCGUCGGUUUGGUGUGGGGCGGAUCGGGUUGUGGGUUGGUCGUUUGUUGAGAAUUGCACAGUGGACGCGAGCAUCUUUGUGGUCAA
RNAcentral lists this unclassified non-coding RNA (369 nucleotides) under Micromonospora inositola. The record is from RNAcentral. Lineage: Bacteria; Bacillati; Actinomycetota; Actinomycetes; Micromonosporales; Micromonosporaceae.